CUGUUCAUCAAUUCCCCGCUGAUAAAUUUGCUGAUGUUUAGUUGUUUGAACAAGACAUGCAUCAGAACAGUCUCAUUCCUGCUGUGAGAUGGCUGAUAAAAUGUUGGAACCUCGAGAACGCCUAUCGGAUUGCUUUCAAAUAAAAUCCCAAGCACUGAGGAACCGUAUCUGAUUCCAAACUUGUUGGGGUUUUGCGUGACAAACAUCAAGGAAACCACUGAUGAAGAGUCAUUUCCUUCCUUGCCAGAGAUUGCAUCCAGCUUGAGAGAACCCAAUUGUAUGGCAUGCAGAUGGAAGAUCGGCUUCUUUGGUUUUAGGACAAAUAUUAUGACUAGAAUUGCUGCAGUUAAUAUUGCUAGGCUGAAGAGAAGGGAAGAAAGGACGCAACACCACUUUCCAGGAGGAAAACUUGGAUUAUGAGUCUCCAUGCUGCUUGGGUAGUGAGCCUCUAUGAUCUCAAAUGGUUGUCGAUUUGGUGCGUCCAUUCUCACAAAUCUUCUCCUCCUUUCUUGUUCUCCUUUAGCUUUUAGUUUGUGAAGCAUAGAAUGCUAUGAAUCCAUAGAGAAAUUGUGCAAUGAGGCAGGAGGGCUGAGUUAUAUACUAAUUUCAAGCAUUAAAGGAGACGGCCGGGCUUUCCCUUGGUAAUAAGCCUCGUGCAAGUACCUCUUGCCUUUAUUCCUUUCUUAAAAGUUGCCUCUUGAGCCCCUUUAAGUGGUAUCUCCCCGGAAACCGAUGGCUUCUGCUGCUGGACUUCUUCCUUCCAAAGCUUGAUGGUGGCCUGCCGGGGCUCCGCCGCCUCCCCCGCUCCCACCGCGGCUUCUCUCCGAUAUCUGCGAGGUGUCAGAUCCUAUCAUUAGAAUGAUAGAAUGAGCAGGUUGCAGUCGAUACAAAUCAUUGUUUGUAUUGAUAAAAUGGCAUGUAUAUCAAGACACUUAUAAUUGCAUGUAUCUGAAUAAGUCUGCUAAAAUUACAUAUAUAUUGACAAUAUUCAUUAAUUGACGUGCCAAUCAACCACUGCACACCAAUUACAUA
Non-coding RNA from Phoenix dactylifera (date palm), 1032 nucleotides. NCBI's taxonomy places the organism in Eukaryota, Viridiplantae, Streptophyta, Magnoliopsida, Arecales, Arecaceae. The record is from RefSeq and is a predicted model, not a curated record.